This 444-nucleotide ribosomal RNA is filed under the name Physidae sp. CMA-2017. RNAcentral's name for it is "partial 16S ribosomal RNA". It matches the Rfam family "Bacterial large subunit ribosomal RNA", at positions 1829 to 2597 of the family's 2925-position model. The record is from RNAcentral. Lineage: Eukaryota; Metazoa; Mollusca; Gastropoda; Physidae.
GCUUGAAGAAUAUAUUUUAAGUUAAUUCUGCCCGGUGCUUUAAGUUAACGGCCGCAGUACCUUGACUGUGCUAAGGUAGCAUAAUCAAUUGGCUAUUAAUUGUAGUCUAGUAUGAAAGAAUAAAUGAUUAGGGGCUAUAAUAGGGGGUUUAGUUAAAACUUAUUUAUCAGGUGAAAAUACCUGUAAUAAGAAAAAAGACGAGAAGACCCUUAGAGUUUAAAAAAUUACACUAUAUCUGAUUAGUGGUGUUUUUUAUUGGGGCGAUAAGAAAACAUUAUUAAACUUUUCUAUCAAUGAUUGUACAGGCCGAAUUUAUUAUGGAUGGCUAAACUACCUUAGGGAUAACAGCAUAAUGAUGUAUUUUAGUUUGUGACCUCGAUGUUGGACUAGGAACUUUAACACUAGCCGUGGUAAAAGAAUGUUCUGUUCGAACAGUUGUUUCCU